Arabidopsis thaliana (thale cress) is the source of this 280-nucleotide long non-coding RNA. RefSeq annotates it as other RNA. The transcript has a single exon. NCBI's taxonomy places the organism in Eukaryota, Viridiplantae, Streptophyta, Magnoliopsida, Brassicales, Brassicaceae. The record is from RefSeq.
GACUAAUGACUAAAACCCAAGCCUCAUAAUGAAAGAUCAAGAGUGUCCAUAUUCCAUUCAAUAUCUCAAAUGGAAUGGAUAUAAGAGAAUGCUCAACAUGAAAAUGUUGGUAGACAUACAAAGAGUGAGUACUAAACUAUUGAAUGACCCAUUUGAUCACCUCUUUUCCAAGUUUGUGAGAAACUUAUAUGAAAUGUUAAGAAUUUUUAAGUCUUUGAUCUUUACGAUUCUUCCAUUUGUUCCAUGUCUUUUUCUAGCCCACCAUUAGAAAAGAUAUAUA